This 496-nucleotide ribosomal RNA is filed under the name uncultured bacterium. RNAcentral's name for it is "partial 16S ribosomal RNA". It matches the Rfam family "Bacterial small subunit ribosomal RNA", at positions 29 to 523 of the family's 1533-position model. The record is from RNAcentral.
AUUGAACGCUGGCGGCAUGCCUUACACAUGCAGGUCGAACGGUAGAGGGGGCAACCCCUUGAGAGUGGCGAACGGGUGAGUAAUGCAUCGGAACGUGCCCAGUCGUGGGGGAUAGCCCGGGGAAACCCGGAUUAAUACCGCAUACGACCUGAGGGUGAAAGCGGGGGACCGAAAGGCCUCGCGCGAUUGGAGCGGCCGAUGUCGGAUUAGGUAGUUGGUGGGGUAAAGGCCUACCAAGCCUGCGAUCCGUAGCUGGUCUGAGAGGACGACCAGCCACACUGGGACUGAGACACGGCCCAGACUCCUACGGGAGGCAGCAGUGGGGAAUUUUGGACAAUGGGGGCAACCCUGAUCCAGCCAUGCCGCGUGCGGGAAGAAGGCCUUCGGGUUGUAAACCGCUUUUGUCAGGGAAGAAAUGUCCUGGGCUAAUAACCUGGGGGGAUGACGGUACCUGAAGAAUAAGCACCGGCUAACUACGUGCCAGCAGCCGCCGCCG